This is a long non-coding RNA of Phascolarctos cinereus (koala), 368 nucleotides long. RefSeq lists it as uncharacterized. Lineage: Eukaryota; Metazoa; Chordata; Mammalia; Diprotodontia; Phascolarctidae. The record is from RefSeq and is a predicted model, not a curated record.
UAGCCAAAGGCCUCAGAUCUUAGACAAGACCUUUCCUGGAUGAAGUCCUAAUCAGACUCAGAUUAGAGCUAAUAUCUAAUUGCUCUUGAAAAUACUGGGAAGCAGUGGCCAAGAAGACACUGGGAAUCCAACACUGCAUCUCAUGGUCCUUCUGGCUUCACCAACAUCAUCAUCUUUAUAUAUACAAAUAAGAUGGUUGUAUAAAAGGUCAUAAAAUGGUCAGGUAUCUUUGUCAGAGAUCAGAAGAAUUUACAGUGUAGCAGAGAAAGGACACCGUAAAGGAAAUGAGUCAAAUUAAUGUCACAAAAGGAAAGGGGAGAAGAGGAAGCAGGGCCUGGAGCAGGAAUGAAAGGGGGGAAAUGAAGAGA